Molecule: ribosomal RNA, 459 nt
Filed under: uncultured bacterium
Lineage: Bacteria
Description: partial 16S ribosomal RNA
Rfam family: Bacterial small subunit ribosomal RNA
Source: RNAcentral
CCUACGGGUGGCAGCAGUGAGGAAUAUUGGUCAAUGGGCGUAAGCCUGAACCAGCCCAGUCGCGUGCGGGAUGAAGGUUCUAUGGAUCGUAAACCUCUUUUAUAAGGGAAUAAAGUGCGGGACGUGUCCCGUUUUGUAUGUACCUUAUGAAUAAGGAUCGGCUAACUCCGUGCCAGCAGCCGCGGUAAUACGGAGGAUCCGAGCGUUAUCCUGAUUUAUUGGGUUUAAAGGGUGCGAAGGCGGGCUGUUAAGCCGGCGGUAAAAAUUCAGGGCGCAACCCUGUCGAGCCGUCGGAACUGGCAGUCGUGAGUGGGCGAGAAGUAUGCGGAAUGCGUGGUGUAGCGGUGAAAUGCAUAGAUAUCACGCAGAACUCCGAUUGCGAAGGCAGCUCACUGGACUGCAACUGACACUGAGGCUCGAAAGUGUGGGUAUCAAACAGGAUUAGAUACCCGGGUAGUC